CACUAAGUAAUAUAUAUAUAUAUAUAUAUAUAUAUAUAUAACUAGGCUGAAAUACUAUCAAUAGCACCAAGCUAUCGGUGCUAUUAAUUUUUUAGCUCUUGGAUUGAGAAAUGUGUGAUUAGGAUAAUGUGGGCCCCCUAGGGUUGAGUGGAUGGUUGGUUGAAUAGUAUAAUUUAAUAGAUAAAAAUAAUUAAAUGAUUAAAUUUAAUGGUAGAAAACUUGAUAGUACUAAGCUCGUGAUGCUAUCGAUAGUAUCCCAAUCGGACUAUAUAUAUAUAUAUAUAUAUAUAUACACACACACUAAUAAAAUCUCAUCAGAGACAGUUCACGUGGCUCAACACU
Molecule: long non-coding RNA, 342 nt
Filed under: Ananas comosus (pineapple)
Lineage: Eukaryota; Viridiplantae; Streptophyta; Magnoliopsida; Poales; Bromeliaceae
Description: long non-coding RNA (ACOM_LNC006508)
Source: RNAcentral